This 467-nucleotide ribosomal RNA is filed under the name uncultured bacterium. RNAcentral's name for it is "partial 16S ribosomal RNA". It matches the Rfam family "Bacterial small subunit ribosomal RNA", at positions 29 to 507 of the family's 1533-position model. The record is from RNAcentral.
ACGAACGCUGGCGGCGUGCUUAACACCUGCAAGUCGAACGGAAAGACCCUGCUUUUGUGGGGUGCUCGAGUGGCGAACGGGUGAGUAACACGUGAGUAACCUGCCCUUGACUUUGGGAUAACUUCAGGAAACUGGGGCUAAUACCGGAUAGGAGCUCCUGCUGCAUGGUGGGGGUUGGAAAGUUUCGGCGGUUGGGGAUGGACUCGCGGCUUAUCAGCUUGUUGGUGGGGUAGUGGCUUACCAAGGCUUUGACGGGUAGCCGGCCUGAGAGGGUGACCGGCCACAUUGGGACUGAGAUACGGCCCAGACCCCUACGGGAGGCAGCAGUGGGGAAUAUUGCACAAUGGGCGGAAGCCUGAUGCAGCAACGCCGCGUGCGGGAUGACGGCCUUCGGGUUGUAAACCGCUUUCGCCUGUGACGAAGCGUGAGUGACGGUAAUGGGUAAAGAAGCACCGGCUAACUACGUG